RNAcentral lists this ribosomal RNA (427 nucleotides) under uncultured bacterium. RNAcentral describes it as "partial 16S ribosomal RNA". It matches the Rfam family "Bacterial small subunit ribosomal RNA", at positions 355 to 774 of the family's 1533-position model. The record is from RNAcentral.
UGGGGAAUAUUGGACAAUGGGCGAAAGCCUGAUCCAGCCAUGCCGCGUGUGUGAAGAAGGUCUUCGGAUUGUAAAGCACUUUAAGUUGGGAGGAAGGGCAUUAACCUAAUACGUUAGUGUUUUGACGUUGCCGACAGAAUAAGCACCGGCUAACUCUGUGCCAGCAGCCGCGGUAAUACAGAGGGUGCAAGCGUUAAUCGGAAUUACUGGGCGUAAAGCGCGCGUAGGUGGUUUGUUAAGUUGGAUGUGAAAUCCCCGGGCUCAACCUGGGAACUGCAUUCAAAACUGACUGACUAGAGUAUGGUAGAGGGUGGUGGAAUUUCCUGUGUAGCGGUGAAAUGCGUAGAUAUAGGAAGGAACACCAGUGGCGAAGGCGACCACCUGGACUAAUACUGACACUGAGGUGCGAAAGCGUGGGGAGCAAACA